Molecule: ribosomal RNA, 475 nt
Filed under: uncultured bacterium
Lineage: Bacteria
Description: bacterial SSU rRNA
Rfam family: Bacterial small subunit ribosomal RNA
Source: RNAcentral
UUCGCAAUGCCCGAAAGGGUGACGACGCGACGCCGUGUGUGGGAGGAAGGCCUUCGGGUUGUAAACCACUUUUAGGGGGCAUGAGGGAAGUGGAGUUAACAGCUCCGCGACCUGACGUCAACCUCAGAAUAAGCUGCGGCUAACUACGUGCCAGCAGCCGCGGUAAGACGUAGGCAGCGAGCGUUGUUCGGUGUUACUGGGCUUAAAGGGCGCGUAGGCGGCUCGUUAUGUCGGUUGUGAAAUACCUCGGCUCAACCGAGGAACUGCUUCCGAAACUAACGGGCUAGAGGCAUUUAAGGGUGACUGGAACUCUUGGUGGAGCGGUGAUAUGCGUAGAUAUCAAGAGGAACGCCGGAGGUGAAAGCGGUGCACUGGUGGAUUUCUGACGCUGAGGUGCGAAAGCCAGGGGAGCAAACGGGAUUAGAUACCCCGGUAGUCCUGGCUGUAAACGAUGGGCACUAAGUAGAGGGGUUUU